This is a non-coding RNA of Heterocephalus glaber (naked mole-rat), 788 nucleotides long. Lineage: Eukaryota; Metazoa; Chordata; Mammalia; Rodentia; Bathyergidae. The record is from RefSeq and is a predicted model, not a curated record.
AGCACAAGGUCCUGAGUUCGAUCUCCAGUACCACAAAAAAAAAAAAAAAAAAAAGAGGAGCCAAUCUAUUCAUUCAUGCAAUUGUCAAUCAAGAAGAGCACAAAGCAAAAAAUAAAUUACGGCAAAAUCAGUUUUAUCUGGGAAGAAGUUUGCAACGUGAGAAGCAGACAAUCCCAAUGCGGAAGCAGGUGCCCUGGGAAACUGUUUUAAAGACAGAACCAAGGGGAAUUACGUCAGAUAUUUGGAAACAUUACCCUUUGGCCACAGUGACUAAUAUCCAGGUGACCUCAGGCUGAGGAUGAGCAGACAUCCCUGCGGAUGUGCAUCUGCUGGACCCUGCAGCGGCCUCUGUGCGGGGCGGUGGUUGCGGCAGCAUCUUUUGCGACAGUCACUCCCUUCCCUCUGAACCUUCUGCCCAUGACAGAUAGUUCCGAGUGUCUCCUGUGCCCGACUCAGCAAAGCGCCUUGGAGUCUUAGCUCAUUUUGUCACGCUGGUGACAUAGGGCCUUCCCAAGCCUCGUGUCUGCUGUUUCCCAAGGCAUGAAAGCAUGUGCAAAUACAUCCCCGGUGAGGGCCCAGUCUCCUGAAUAUAUGAAUAAUGCCUACAACUACCAAAAGGCCAGCAAUCUGUAUUAAUCAAGAUUCUCCAGACAGAUGGAACCAACAGGCUUGGCCUUUAGCUUUCUACUUCCUGGUCUCCAUGGUGUGAGGUCACCAUGAUCAUCAUCUGCCAUCUCUCCCACCAUGUCCUUCCUGCCUUGGAGCCGGAAGACCACGGACAAAAAACA